CGAGUAAGUCAGGCAAUCGCUGCUAUAAUUAAUUAUAGGAGAGGAAAGUCCGGGCUCCAUAGGGCAGGGUGCUGGGUAAUACCCAGUGGAGGCGACUCUAAGGAAAGUGCAACAGAAAUAAACCGCCACAUUAUGUGGUAAGGAUGGAAAGGUGAGGUAAGAGCUCACCAGCGCAUAGGUGACUAUGUGGCUAUGUAAACCCCACCUGGUGCAAGAUCGAAGGAGACAUUAUAGGGCGGCCCGUCCUGUCUUCGAGUGUAUCGCUUGAGUUUAUUGGUAACGAUAAACCUAGAUAGAUGAUUGUCUAAUACAGAACUCGGCUUAUAGACUUGGUCGCAUG
This 340-nucleotide RNase P RNA is filed under the name Oceanirhabdus sp. W0125-5. RNAcentral describes it as "RNase P RNA component class A". It matches the Rfam family "Bacterial RNase P class A". From Rfam's summary of the family: Ribonuclease P (RNase P) is a ubiquitous endoribonuclease, found in archaea, bacteria and eukarya as well as chloroplasts and mitochondria. The record is from RNAcentral. Lineage: Bacteria; Bacillati; Bacillota; Clostridia; Eubacteriales; Clostridiaceae.